CCCUGAAACGCUGCUACGAUACAGGGUAUUAACUCAAUCGCUGCUACGAUUUAAUGUCCGAUCGAUUGAAACUAUCCGAUGAAUGUUUAAGUGCUACUCAAAUUGGGUUUAUACUUUGUCAUUAGUCGUGAUUUCGACUUGAAUGUUUGAGUACCACCCAAACUCGGAGUGUACUCUGUCAUUCGUUGCGAAUCCGAUGGAUGUUUAAGUAUUGCACUUUGUCAUUCGUUGUGAGGGUAUUAAUCUCGUGAGUUAUCGUAAAUGUUGUAUUAGUUAAUUACCUAGUUUUGUGUGCAUUAUUAUUUAAAUUAGGUUAUCAGGCUUAUCAAUAGACUAAACUCUACCCCAUACACUUACAAUCAAAGUAGAUGCUAAUUCUCAGAAGAAUCUGAAUCAUGAAGCUUGUUAAUUCAAUACUGCAUGCUUAUAAUGUAAUUACAGUAGAUUGGAGUAAGAAUUGGAUCUGGCACUGAAGGACUUCAAGAAGUGGCUUAUUUUAUUAAUUAAAUCAAAUCAAGAAAUAUUGUUUUAUAUAAUCAAAUUUAUAUUAAAGCUAUCAUUGUAAAACAUGGGUUUUAUCCCAUCUAUUUAAUAAAUAAAAUCCGGUGUUUUUAA
RNAcentral lists this long non-coding RNA (615 nucleotides) under Helianthus annuus (common sunflower). Lineage: Eukaryota; Viridiplantae; Streptophyta; Magnoliopsida; Asterales; Asteraceae. The record is from RNAcentral.